RNAcentral lists this non-coding RNA (21 nucleotides) under Arabidopsis thaliana (thale cress). Lineage: Eukaryota; Viridiplantae; Streptophyta; Magnoliopsida; Brassicales; Brassicaceae. The record is from RNAcentral.
UGGUAGUCAUUUGAGGUCUUG